AUGACAACAUAAUUGUAUACAAUUUACGGCACUUUUGAAUGUGUUGUCAAUGUACCCUUUCGGUCCCAAUUACAACGCCGGUAACAUACAAGACAUUCCUAUUUUCAGCGCUUUAGUAAGUGCUUCACAAAACAUUCUUAAAUACGAUAUUCUUUGAAUAUUUUUCGAAGACUUUCGAAAGGCUGCUGUUUCCUGCUUAAGAGUAAACAUGGCGACGACCUAUCGUGAGGAAGAGAGAAAAAGUAUUUUUUUUUAUGGAGAAAACUUCAAACUGAUACGAACAGAGAAGUUGAAACCAACAAGUUAGAAUAACAUAAAGUGCUAGUAACAGUGUUUAUAGUGCCACUUUUGGAAGCUCGUUGAAGAGAAGGAAGCCAUGACAGUUUCAGGGUAAAAAGCGAAAGAAUACCGUAAGAAAUAGUUAUGCCACAUUUUUGUGUUGCUAUCAAUUGUACCAAGUUAUACGAAAGGUUCAGGAAUUUCAUUUCACAAUGGUUAUAGAUAAUUAUCUCUUCAUAUAUGGCUGAAGAGUAUCUUAAGGACGAAAUGUAUUCCAGAAAUAAUGUUUCAGUCGCAUGAUAGAAGUGUUAUUUUGAUGUUCUCGGUGUGGCAUACGCCUAUCUCCUCUACUCAGUGAAUGAUAUAGCUUUAUCAAUAUAAAAAGGCAGUCAAAAUUUUAAUGAAGAUAACUGCGUAAAAACGAUGGCGAAUAACUUAGAAAAUAAAAAUUGGAAGCACAUUUAUGCACUAGAAAAUGCAAGAGGAAGAAUUUUAAUAUCCGAACUGAUUUUUGGAGGCGUAUGCAGACAAACUAGGAAAAGAUUUUUAGUUAGAGCACCGGAUAGAUAGGAAACACCUAUGCCUCUUUUUUUAAAUAUGUAGAUGAACAGUUAAUCAUAAUUACAGACAAUGCUAGAGGUCAGGGUUUAGAAAAGUAUAGAUUUUCCAAAAUAUAAUAUUAUUCAGUGCUGGAUGAGUCAACACCGACGGACAAUUCGAUUGCUAUCGAAGAGGUUCGAUCUAAGCACUCAAAUUCAUCUAUUCUUUCAAUCUGAGUAGUUCGAUUUUCUUAGAAAUUUCUACAGACAUGGACAUAAAAUAUUCAUUUUUCGUUCGAUGGUUUCUUUUUACA
Molecule: long non-coding RNA, 1132 nt
Organism: Centruroides sculpturatus (bark scorpion)
Lineage: Eukaryota; Metazoa; Arthropoda; Arachnida; Scorpiones; Buthidae
Exons: 4
Source: RefSeq, a predicted model, not a curated record